AACACACACAUGCACGCACACGCGUUAGAGUGUACGUCGGCCUUACGUCGGCGAAGAAAAGUGCCCGCUGCGCCUGUUUCAUCUUGAAGCGUUUGAUCUUCUGCUGGAUCCUCUUGUCCUUUUCCAGUUGGCCCUCCGUGGCCCACUCGCAAUGGAGCACACCCGGAGAAACCUACACGUGUUAUAAAGAAAGAAGAAAUAAAGAGACAAUUUACCACACAGAUGACAGGCAUCAGACACAUCACCACAGAUGAAGAAGGAAAGAGCGGAGCGUUACCUCUUUCUUGACGACGCGAGAGGACAUGAUUUUGUCAACGACAGCGGCGUCUUCUUCACUGGGGUUUUCCUUCAGAUGGAGAUGAGAAAAAACAAUGUUCCAAAUGGGAAAAUGCAUGACUACACAGUGACAGAAGUGGCAAGUACUCACCACAAAGAGCUGCACCGCAGGCUGCUUGGACGCCACAGUGUUGGCCUUCUUGGCUUUGACGAUCACCUUGCCAUCCUCGUCUGACAGCCUGGCCUCCAGUUCCUCGGCGUACUUCUUCCUCUUCACCUGACGAUUAGAGCGUCUCUUCUGAAAUGCAAAGAUAUACAAAAAAAUAAUUAUUCCAACGGUUAGCACCUUGGCUUUUUUUUUUUUAAUGACAUUUGAAAUAGUACCCGACUCCAGGGAAUGAUGUAAAACCCAAUUGGCCUUAGUACUUUCUCUAUUCAGGUUGCCACCUUGCUAUAAAUUAACAUGCCAACUGUAAGGAAGGAUGUUAGCAUUUAUAGGACUUUUGUUUUGGCUUUUAUAUUAAGAGAAGUUUACUUAUUUUGUCUUUCUAUUGUUUGACAGCAUAUAAAAUUAUACUUCAAAAAAACUUCAGUUUAGGAAGGCGACAAUAUCCCUCGACAGACUUUCGAGGGUUCACUUUAUAUAAUCAAUAAUAUAACCAAUAACUGCUGAGUUUAUUUGUUUGGGUUUUAUUUUUAAUCACACUGCUAAGUACAUGUCAUCGUGGCUUCUCGCGAUCCUGAAGUUACGAUGAAUAAACAAUAAAUGUGGCAAAAAUUGUA
Hippocampus zosterae (dwarf seahorse) is the source of this 1059-nucleotide long non-coding RNA. RefSeq lists it as uncharacterized. The transcript has 3 exons. NCBI's taxonomy places the organism in Eukaryota, Metazoa, Chordata, Actinopteri, Syngnathiformes, Syngnathidae. The record is from RefSeq and is a predicted model, not a curated record.